Molecule: long non-coding RNA, 891 nt
Organism: Rosa chinensis
Lineage: Eukaryota; Viridiplantae; Streptophyta; Magnoliopsida; Rosales; Rosaceae
Exons: 3
Source: RefSeq, a predicted model, not a curated record
AUGUAUGAUUCAACUUUCCUACAUAUUGAGAGAGACCUAGGAUAAAUCCAGAAAAUCUUCUUGCUCCAUCGGAUAUCCUUCAACAAGAAAAGAAAGUGAGCUCUUUAGCAAAUACCACUCAAGGUUCAAUUCAAAAUUAUCAGCACGUAUACCGAAGAGAGUUAAAGAACAUCAAGAUUCAUGUAUCAGUAGGACACUUGAAAAACAAAACUGGAGCAAUUGAAAGUGAGAGGAAAAUGGGGAUUCAUGCCAUGUAAAUUCUUCAACAAAUACUCGGUACUAGAUGAUGAAUUUUGAAGAAAUUCAAAAGUAGGGAAUUCUCGGCUGAAAGAACAGAAAAGAUUCAAAACUUCCAAUAAAGGAAGCCAUGAAGGAGACAAUGGAAAGAGUUCCAUUGUUGAAGGAAAUUGUCGAUCAGUACAGCGGACCAGAUAGGGUAACUGCAAAGAAACAACAAGAAGAGUUGGAAAGAGUUGCAAAAACUCUUCCUGCAAAAGUACCUGAUUCUGUAAAGCAGUUCACUGAUCGCGUGGUGCUUUCUCUCCAGGGCAACCCUGGCUGGGGAUUUCACAGGAAAUGCCAGUUCAUGGAUAAGCUAACAGAAAAGGUUUCGAGGCACUACAAGUGACCGUGGAAUGGUCAGUUCCUAAUACUUAAUGAUGAACAUGCCUCAUAAUGCAGAAAAGAAGUGGUCAAUGAUGCUGUAAACUUUUCAGUUCAAGUUAUUUUGCCCAGAAAUUUUGUACUUGUACCAUUUUUUAGUUGUUACAAAAGAAUAGCUCAGUUCUCUUAGAUUGUUCUCAGCUACGAUCAAAGAAGAAUCGCGGCAUUUGUUUGUAAUAAUUUGUUAUCUAUGCAGCAUAGCACUAGUGAAAUCAUUUUCAGGCAACA